AGAUUGAACGCUGGCGGCAUGCCUAACACAUGCAAGUCGAACGGGAGUAGCAAUACUCUAGUGGCGGACGGGUGAGGAAUACGUAGGAAUUUGCCCUUAAGUGGGGGAUAACCCGGGGAACCCGGAUUAAUACCGCAUGACCUCGAAAGAGCAAAGUGGGGGAUCGCAAGACCUCACGCUUUUGGAGAAGCCUACGUCGGAUUAGCUAGUUGGUGAGGUAAUGGCUCACCAAGGCGACGAUCCGUAACUGGUCUGAGAGGAUGAUCAGUCACACCGGAACUGAGACACGGUCCGGACUCCUACGGGAGGCCAGCAGUGGGGAAUAGUUGGACAAGUGGGCGCAAGCCUGGAUCCAGCAAUGCCGCGUGUGUGAAGAAGGCCUUCGGUGUAAGCUACGUUUAA
Molecule: ribosomal RNA, 402 nt
Filed under: uncultured soil bacterium
Lineage: Bacteria
Description: bacterial SSU rRNA
Rfam family: Bacterial small subunit ribosomal RNA
Source: RNAcentral